GACGAACGCUGGCGGCGUGCUUAACACAUGCAAGUCGAACGGAAAGGUCCUGCUUUUGUUGGGUGCUCGAGUGGCGAACGCGUGAGUAACACGUGAGUAACCUGCCCUUGACUUUCGGAUAACUUUAGGAAACUGGGGCUCAUAUCGGAUAGGAUCUCCUGCUGCGUGGUGGGGGUCGGAAAGUGUCGGCGGUUGGGGAUGUACUAGCGGCUUAUCCGCUUGUUUGUGGGGUAGUGGCUUACCAAGGCUUUGACGGGUAGCCGGCCUGGGAGGGUGACCGGCCACAUUGCGACUGAGAUACGGCCCAGAAUCCUACGGGAGGCAGCAGGGGGGAGUAUGGCACAAUGGGCGGAAGCCUGAUACAACAACGCCGCGUGCGGGAUGACGGCCUUCGGGUUGUGAACCGCUUUCGCCUGUGACGAAGCGGGAGUGACGGUAAUGGGUAAAGAAGCACCGGCUAACUACGUG
Molecule: ribosomal RNA, 468 nt
Filed under: uncultured bacterium
Lineage: Bacteria
Description: partial 16S ribosomal RNA
Rfam family: Bacterial small subunit ribosomal RNA
Source: RNAcentral